Pelmatolapia mariae (spotted tilapia) is the source of this 449-nucleotide long non-coding RNA. RefSeq lists it as uncharacterized. The record is from RefSeq and is a predicted model, not a curated record. The transcript has 3 exons. NCBI's taxonomy places the organism in Eukaryota, Metazoa, Chordata, Actinopteri, Cichliformes, Cichlidae.
UUGUUGAAAGGCCAGUGUGACAGAGCUCUGGUCUGAGGAGUUCGGCGUGUGCGUGCGGCUCAUACCUGCUCGUGGAUUCGUGUAUACGUGGGUCAUGCUUUGGCAAGUGGGUGUGUCCGUGAGUGUGGCUGAGUACUGGGUUUCAGGUAGGCCUGGUGGGCGUGUCCUACCUAGAGGAUGGCCACACCUGAAGCAGAUGAUGACUCACACACCUGCAGCUAAUGGAGCGUCGUUGGGGAGCUUCUUAAGACUGUGGCUGAGCGCUCCUUGGCGUGGGAUUGUUGUGUGAGACUCCAUGAAGGAGCAGGGAAGACAAGAGCAGCGAGCACGGGGUGCAGGGACACACAGGAGCAGAAGAGCACGGAGCAUGGACUUGUGGGUGAAGACACGACACGGAAGUCAAGGGGAAAACACAGGGUUGAUUCUGUGACUAUUUACACCACUGUAAA